Molecule: long non-coding RNA, 1128 nt
Organism: Hylaeus anthracinus
Lineage: Eukaryota; Metazoa; Arthropoda; Insecta; Hymenoptera; Colletidae
Exons: 4
Source: RefSeq, a predicted model, not a curated record
CCAUAUUAUAUUUUAAUGUAGACUAAAUAAAAGUUUUGAUUGAAUAAGAAUUUCUGGUAUUUAAACGAUCUCUCUUGCUUAAUGGAUUGACAGAAAGUGUGUUAACAUAUUUAAAAGGCAAACAAAAUUAAAUUAUGUUUCACAAAAGACAAUCAAAUGAAUAACAUCAAGUAUCAUCGAGUUAACAGAAGAUAAGUUCUCGGCUGAAACGACUGCAAUCGGCUGCCUUGAAGAAUAGAUCUAGAUGAAAUUGGAGAAUCCGAUUGAGAAGUUUGUUGAAGGUCGGAAGAUUGAUCUGAGGAAAUAAACUGAGGUUCGUUGUGAUCAGCAACCAGAAAAGCAGAUCUUGAAAUAACUGGAAAGGGACCUCGAUAAGGUGGCUCAAGAGGACGUCUAUCAGGAUCUACCCUAACAAAAACAAAAAUCUGUGGAGGAAAAGCAUCCAAAUCAUUGUGAAGAAAUUCUGCAGGCGAUGCUUUAAAAUCUUCUUUCAAAGCUGUUCGUAAUCCAAGAAGAACUGUUGGAAGUACAUCAAUCCAAUUCUUAUUUCCAUGACACAUUAAAGCUAUUUUUAAAGAACGAUGCCAACGUUCCAGGAUUCCAUUAGUUUGCGGGUGGUAAACAGUUGAUCGUGUCUUCUUGCAACCAACUAAAUUUGUCAAAGCCUUGAAAAAUGAUGCUUCAAAUUGACUUCCCUGAUCAGUAGUAACCAUUUUAGGAGUUCCAAAGCGACAAAUCCAAUUUCGAUAGAAUUCAGUGGCAACAGAAUCCGCAGUUGCUUCCUUUAAGGGAAUUGCUUCUGGCUAACGUGAAUAUCUAUCAAUCAUUGUUAAAAUAUAGCGAAAAUCCUCAGAUGGAGGAAGUGGACCAACUAAAUCCAAAUGAAUGUGAUGAAAUCUUUCAUCUGGAAUUGGAAAGAUUGUUGGCCUACGUUUUGUGUGCUUAUUGAUUUUAGAAAGUUGACAAGGUAAACAAGUCUUGAUACGAUCAAUAAUAUACUUUUUCAUAUGAGGCUAAACAAAUUUUUCUUUGAUUAAUUGACUAGUUGCUUUAACGCCUGGAUGAGACAAAUUAUGUACAAAAUUAAAAAUCUUUGAACGUAAAGAAGCAGGAACAUAUGGCCUAACA